UUUUAAAAGUUCUCUUUCAUGCAGUUAUUUAUUAAGUGCUUUUAGUAUAAGUUGUUGGUGGUGUGAGAUGGAAAAUUCCUUUCCCUUUGUCCCUUUAGGAACAGGACCUAAUUAGUAAGCCACCGGUUGUUUACCAAGAAUCAGUAAGCCACCGAGCUUAUCAGGGCUUUUGCACUAGGAAAUUAUUUUCUAGGAGGGAGCAGCUGAUUGCGGGGGGAUGUGGUGACCCUACCGGGCUAGAUUCUAUUGGUUGUGUGAUUUUGAAAUGUUUGAAACCAGCCAGCACUUUGCUUUGAAUGGAUCAUGCUUUUGCUAAGUUUGAAAUGAUUGGAUUUUGUGUUUUCUAUAGCCUGUUAUUGGAUGUAGGUUGAUAAGGUGAUGUGUUCCCCCUCCCUGAGUGUAGUCUGAAUUCCUAUAAAUUGUGUGGUUUGAGCCUUGUUCAGGGUCGAGCUUGGUAGACUAACAUCAGUCACCACUCGGCCCGGAUUGCAAUUCAUGAAUAAACAUCUUUGCCUCUUUA
This is a long non-coding RNA of Erinaceus europaeus (western European hedgehog), 520 nucleotides long. RefSeq lists it as uncharacterized. The transcript is spliced from 2 exons. NCBI's taxonomy places the organism in Eukaryota, Metazoa, Chordata, Mammalia, Eulipotyphla, Erinaceidae. The record is from RefSeq and is a predicted model, not a curated record.